RNAcentral lists this ribosomal RNA (253 nucleotides) under uncultured bacterium. Its description in RNAcentral is "partial 16S ribosomal RNA". It matches the Rfam family "Bacterial small subunit ribosomal RNA", at positions 524 to 776 of the family's 1533-position model. The record is from RNAcentral.
UACGGGGGGGGCAAGCGUUGUUCGGAACUACUGGGCGUAAAGGGCUCGUAGGUGGCCAACUAAGUCAGACGUGAAAUCCCCAGGCUUAACCUGGGAACUGCGUCUGAUACUGGAUGGCUAGAGUUUGGGAGAGGGAUGCGGAAUUCCAGGUGUAGCGGUGAAAUGCGUAGAUAUCUGGAGGAACACCGGUGGCGAAGGCGGCAUCCUGGACCAACACUGACGCUGAGGAGCGAAAGCCAGGGGAGCAAACGGG